RNAcentral lists this ribosomal RNA (807 nucleotides) under Triticum aestivum (bread wheat). RNAcentral describes it as "partial small subunit ribosomal RNA". Lineage: Eukaryota; Viridiplantae; Streptophyta; Magnoliopsida; Poales; Poaceae. The record is from RNAcentral.
AUGGACCUUGGGCGCCUGAAGUAUGGGAUCAUUACCCUCAUCCCAAAGGUUCCCGGGGCCUCGGACAUCCGCUAGUUCCGCCCGAUCACCGUGAUUAACGUGAUCUUAAGGAUCCUGGCCAAAGGGUACGCCAAUAGGGUGACCCUUCUUGCAGACUCUGUCACCCACCCCAACCAAUCCGCCUUCAUCCAAGGCCGAUUUAUUUUGGAUGGGGUGUUGGUCUUUCACGAAGUCCUCCAUGAAGUCCGAUCCAAGCAUCACCGCGUUGUGUUCCUUAAGCUCGACUUUCAUAAGGCCUACGACACAGUCCAUUGGCCCUUCCUUCGGGAAGUAUUGGUUUGGAAGGGCUUCGACGACCGCUGGGUGACCCGCGUUAUGCAACUUGUCACCUGUGGGCGGACGGCGAUCAACAUUAACGACGAGAUCGGUCCCUACUUCCCCACCUUAUGUGGGGUGCGCCAGGGUGACCCGUUCUCCCUGUUCCUUUUCAACAUGGUUGUCGAUGCCCUUGCGGUCAUCCUUGAUAAGGCCAAAGCCUGCGGCCAUAUCCGGGGCGUUGUCCCCCACCUAGUGGACGGAGGAGGGGUUUCCCUCCUCCAAUACGCGGACGACACCAUAGUCAUGGUGGAGGGCUCCGCGGCUGACAUCGCCAACCUGAAGUUCCUCCUCAUGUGCUUCCAACAGAUGUCGGUGUUGGGGAACGUAGCAGAAAUUCAAAAUUUUCCUACGAGUCACCAAGAUCUAUCUAUGGAGAGACUAGCAACGAGGGGAAGGAGAGUGCAUCUACAUACCCUUGUAGAUCGCUAA